GAUGAACGCUGGCGGCGUGCCUAAUACAUGCAAGUCGAGCGGCAACACGGUCUUCGGAAUGGUGGCGAGCGGCGGACGGCUGAGUAACGCGUAGGAACGUGCCCCAAAGUGAGGGAUAAGCAUCAGAAAUGGUGUCUAAUACCGCAUGUGGUCUCCGGAUCAAAGCCUUCGGGCGCUAUGGGAACGGCCUGCGUCUGAUUAGCUAGUUGGUGAGGUAACGGCUGACCAAGGCGACGAUCAGUAGCUGGUCUGAGAGGAUGACCAGCCAGACUGGGACUGAGACACGGCCCAGACUCCUACGGGAGGCAGCAGUAGGGAAUCUUCCACAAUGGGCGAAAGCCUGAUGGAGCAACGCCGCGUGCAGGAUGAAUGCCUUCGGGUUGUAAACUGCUUUUGUUAGUGACGAUUAUGACGGUAACUAGCGAAUAAGGAUCGGCUAACUCCGUGCCAGCCGCCGCCGUAA
This 463-nucleotide ribosomal RNA is filed under the name uncultured bacterium. RNAcentral describes it as "partial 16S ribosomal RNA". It matches the Rfam family "Bacterial small subunit ribosomal RNA", at positions 28 to 523 of the family's 1533-position model. The record is from RNAcentral.